AAAUAUGGACAAAGUAGAACAUAUGAAUAGUACACAAGUCAAAAAUAUAUAAUUUAUCCUAAGAGGCGGCCUUAGUUUUUCGCUUUAUGUUUGAGCCUCUAUGGUAGAAUCCGUUGGGGCCUAAGAGGCGGUGAUUUACCCUGUGGUGGAUGUCAGCGGUUCGAGUCCGCUUAUCUCCAACUCGUGAAUUUGAAUGAUAUAUAGGUUAGAUACAUUAAUUUUUUAAUGAAUGUAAAAAACAAUUUUUGCUUAUUUAUAAAUAAGACCGGAGAGAGUAAUGUUAGUUUAAUUUCAUCAUCAUUCUUAUCAUCACAAUUUAUAUUUUUUCUUUUUUUUCUUUUCUUUUUUAUUUAUUAUUAUUAAUUACUGUAUUAAAUUAAAUAAAAUUCUUUCGUCAAACUCGUACGGACGGAUAUUCCGGUGAAUCGAAACCUCGUUGGUUUCUGUCACACACCUGACAACACCUUCGGAUCUCACAUCACACCAGACAAACACAUACACCUCGUUACUUUCUCUUCUAAAUUGUUACCUUCUGUUACCAUUUUUUUCAAGCAAUUUCGUUUCGUGAUCCCAAUUUUUUGCACGCCAAUUUGAUGCCAUGAAGAAGAAGCUCGAUACCCGUUUUCCUGCUGUAAGUUUUUUCUGCUUUUUAGCGUUAAAGUUUGUAUCUUUUCAUAGUUUCGUUGUGUUUUUGCAUCUGGGCAUUUUUUGUUUUUUGAUUUAAUUGAGUUUUGGUUGUUGUGGGUGUGAAAUUGGGUAGAAUGACAUGAUGGGUGUGACUGGAAUUUAGUAUAAUUCAUAAAAUUGAUUUUUUGUGUUUGAUGAUAGUUGAGUAGAUUCGCUGAUAUUGCUCAAAUCUGUCAAAAUACACGAACGGAAGCACCGGGUAGUGUAUUUUCAGAUAAUAUAUAUACUACCGGAAAUGUGCUUCUGGUAACAUCAGGGGG
RNAcentral lists this long non-coding RNA (947 nucleotides) under Trifolium pratense (red clover). RNAcentral's name for it is "long non-coding RNA (TPRA_LNC000256)". Lineage: Eukaryota; Viridiplantae; Streptophyta; Magnoliopsida; Fabales; Fabaceae. The record is from RNAcentral.